AUCGCUUCUCGGCCUUUUGGCUAAGAUCAAGUGUAGUAUCUGUUCUUAUCAGAAAACAGCUGGGAAAACAACUA
RNAcentral lists this small RNA (74 nucleotides) under Marmota monax (woodchuck). RNAcentral's name for it is "U2 spliceosomal RNA". It matches the Rfam family "U2 spliceosomal RNA", at positions 1 to 75 of the family's 192-position model. Rfam says of the family: U2 is a small nuclear RNA (snRNA) component of the spliceosome (involved in pre-mRNA splicing). Complementary binding between U2 snRNA (in an area lying towards the 5' end but 3' to hairpin I) and the branchpoint sequence (BPS) of the intron results the bulging out of an unpaired adenosine, on the BPS, which initiates a nucleophilic attack at the intronic 5' splice site, thus starting the first of two transesterification reactions that mediate splicing. The record is from Rfam by way of RNAcentral. Lineage: Eukaryota; Metazoa; Chordata; Mammalia; Rodentia; Sciuridae.